GCAGCGGCGGCGACAACCCGGAAACGGGCGGGGCGCGGGCCCUGGCUAAAGAGAAGGAAAGUCUGGUGGCUGACAAGUAAACCAACAGUUAUGUUCUUCAGAGAGGAGAUCUCAGACUCUCUAAGCAAAAGAAACUAAUAGCUGUAUGACAACAGCCAAAGAGUAAAUAUCCUUUCAAGUCCAAUCCUGCCUAAGAUGUCAAAAUCAAGAAUGAAGAGGUUAUGUGCUGAAACAGAAUGACCUUCACAAGAUGCAGCCUCUGGAUCUUGGACUUCCCCAGCCUCCAGAACUCUGAGCAGAGCCCCAUAAAUGAGAAGCCACGAAGACUGAGGUUACACAGUGAUCCACAGUUGCCACAAAACUGAGCAGGCAUCAAGGUACAUCUUGGUGUUGAAUGAAGUUGUUCCAUAUGGGCUCAUUUCUCAGUACUGAAGAAUGGGAUUUUGGACACAGAAGUGAUUUUGAUAAGUGACAGAAUUCUGCCGAAGGCCAGAGGCAAAAAGAGGCAAAACAAGGAACAUAAAAAUAGAGAAUCUACAAAUUAGCAUGUUAUAAUUACUCUCUUGCAUAGCAUUUAAGGACAUCUUUGAAAAGAUUCAAUGUCUUCAGCAACUGUAUCUAACUAGCAUGUACUAUAACUCAAAUUGACAUGAUUCCUAAAGAGAAGCAUCGGGACAACUCUUCUAUAGUGAUGAGGCAUUACUGAACAAUGUUUUUGGUUGAUAAACAGUAAUAGAAAUUUGGGAUUAAAAUGGCCUUUUCAAAGGAGUAGGUCAUUCCUAUGAAAAUAAUAGAUACUUAAAUUUAUCUCUCAUUUCUUGUUUGUGUUUGUGCAUUAGUCAACUUGACACUUCAAGGAUCCUUAAUUUUUAUGAAGAUGGUAGCAUGCUGGUAACAUUUUUGAAAUACCUAUUUUUUUGAAAGCCUGUAUCUUACCUUUCCCCAAGACUGAAUAUAAGUUGUCAUGAUAGUUACAAGGCUGAUGAAAUACUGAAUGAAUUGUGGGAGGAGUGGUUGCAGCAGGGGUUGCAUGGUGAAGAGGAGGCAAAGGAAUAUGAGGAUUUCAACAAGUUGCUACAGUGAAUAGUGCUUUGUCUCAGCCCUCCAGAAACAAAAGUGAUAGCUGGUAUUUAUUAAGUUCUGCUGAUAACUUGGAGAAAUAAAAUUCCUGAGUUUCAGUUUAUUUGUAACUUAUGGCUCAGUGAUUUUAUUUCUCCAAGUACUCUCUAUAUACAUAAAGGCUUACCUGUUUUAUUGUGCUUUGCUUUAUUGUGCUCCACAGAUAUUGCAUUUUUGUUUUUAUC
This 1304-nucleotide long non-coding RNA is filed under the name Homo sapiens (human). RNAcentral's name for it is "HSALNT0328352". The record is from RNAcentral. Lineage: Eukaryota; Metazoa; Chordata; Mammalia; Primates; Hominidae.